Molecule: long non-coding RNA, 7979 nt
Filed under: Homo sapiens (human)
Lineage: Eukaryota; Metazoa; Chordata; Mammalia; Primates; Hominidae
Description: HSALNT0151021
Source: RNAcentral
CUACACACCGAUUAGAAUGCUGAAAGAAUGGGACUCUCAUACACUGCUGAUUGAAUCAUACAACUGUACAACCACUCUGGAAAUCAGGUUUGCAGUAUCUUACAAAAAUCCACAUUCAUCUACAUAGAUGAUCAACCCAUUCCACUCCAGGAAUUUACUCAAGAGGAAUAAAAGUAUAUGCCUCUAUAAAGACUUGUACAUGCAUAUUCAUGGCACCUUAAUUUGCAAUAGCCAACAACUGGAAAUAACUCAAAUGUCCUUCUACAGAUGAAUGGCUAAACACUGUGGUACCCCUACGUAAUAGAAUACUACUUGGCAAUGAAAAAGAACAAACUAUUAAUUACACGGAUAAGUCUCAAAACAAUUAUGUUGAGUGGAAAACGCCAGAGAAGAAAUAGCAUAUAUUGCAUGAUUCCACUUCUAUACAGUUCUGAAAACUUCAAACUAAUCUACAGCGACAGAAAAUAGAACAAUGAUUAUCUGGCAAAAAGGGGCAAAGAAAGGAGGAAGGAAGGCUUGUUAUGCCUUCAAGGGGCAUGAAGAAACUUCGAGGGUGGAUAGUUAUGCCCAUGAUCUUGCCUGUGGGAAUGGUUUCAUGGUGCAUACAUAUGUCCAAACUUCACAUAUACUGUACUUUAUAUGCAGUUUAUUGCCUGCCAGUUAUACCUUCAUAAAGCUGUUACAGUUAAAAAAAAAUACUAACUGAAGUAAUGCAAUAUAUGCUAUAUAUGCCAUAGGAGUCAAGGACAGGAAGAGGUGAAUGUGGCUACAGGAGCAGGGCAGGGCAUCAAGAAGAAAGUGAGGGUUCCUCUGAGCUUUGCAGAAUUUGGGAAGAAGGAAAGGAGUGAAGAGAUAAUCAUCAAGACAAAGAAAACAGCUGGAGCCAAAGCAGGGUCAGGCACAGUGAGGCCACUGGGCCAGGGCUGGGGGCGAAGAACCCUGGGGAGCCGAGGGGAGCCAUGUGGAAUGGAAGGAAAUGAGGGAAAAAUCUUAGACUGGCCUGGGCACAUUAUUCCAGAGAGGCUGUGUUUAGAAAGGUGUGAGGCGGACACUAGGAUGGACAGGCAAACAAGUUUCCUCGCAGUGCCAAAGCUGCUCAGCUGGCAGUGACGUCCUGGACUGGCGUGCUGAGGUGUGGAGACCACAUGUAUGUGGUGACUGACAGGCCACAUGUGUCAUUGCUGUGGAAUAGAGAAAUGAUGCUGUGGAUGCAUGGGUUUGCCACUACCGGACUGAAGCCAAGGAAACUAAAGAAGAUCCUGUAAUUAACAAAACAUGAAAUUCUAAAAGGUGGGGGCCAUGGUAAUAUCCCCAUUACCAGCAACAAAUUUGGGAGGCAUUUAUCUGGAAGAAGCAAUGAGAUAUGAUGACAGAAUAACACGUGCUUGAUAAGUGUUUGAUGAAUGAAUUUGUGCACAGAUUAAACACAGCAGAUGGAGAGAAAAAAAGGCAGAAAAAUGAUUUCACUCUUUCCUUUUUACCAAAAGGAAAGUGCUAGCUGAAGAAGGGGUUAUCCAUUGCUCUGAAGCUGGACCAUGAACCUUAAACCAUUUAUGUGGUUGAAAAUGACGUCCAGCUUCUUAUUAAACUUUUUAUAAGAAGAUAGGACAACAAAGACACCCCAGGGCAUAUAUGUGGUAAAGCCAUUUAAGGUGAAGAAUCUAAAAGGAAUCAGGAAUACACAGAGCCACAGGAAAAAGCAGGACAGUAACAACCAGGGUGCAGCCACUACAUUGCAGGCACCGUGCUAGGCACUUUAUAUAGAUCAUCAUGUCUAACCCCUGUGAAGGCAGGUAGGUUGCAUUAUCCCAUUUUAGAGAUGGAAUAACAAAGGCUCAGAGGUUGGGUUAUUUUCCCAAUGCCACCUAGAUACAAUCUGGGCCAGGAUGCAAACUAAGGUCUCCCAGAUGCCAAUGUUCAGGCCACUUGUACAUUAUUUUGCUGCCACUCAGUGUUAACAGGGCAAAUUAAUAAACAAAAGUGGAAGUUUUAACCUAGCAUUGUCUAUUUUCUGUUUUCAAUAAACAUUAAUCACCCAAAAAUAUUUUAUAAAAAAAUUAUUUCUUCAAUGGAAAUCACUGAAGGUAACAUAUCACUUUCAACUUUAAAUGGUUCCUAUAAUGCUGAAUAAAGGCAUACAAUCAGCCCUUCAUAUCCACAAGUUCUGCAUCUGCGAAUUCAACCACUAAAGACCGAAAAUAUUUUAAGCAGUAAAAGUGAUGCAGAUAAAAAUACAGUGUAACAGCUCUUUACAAAGCAUUUACAUUGUGUUAAAUAUUAGGUAUUAUAAGUAAUCCAGAGAUGAUUUAAAGUAUACUAGAGGAUAUACAUAGGUUGUAUGUAAAUAUACACCAUUUAUAUAAAAACUUGAGCAUGCAGAUUUUGGUAUGCGGGGUUGCAGGGGAGUCCUGGAACCAAUCCCCUUGGGUACCAAGUGAUGACUGUAUUCCAUUAUAAAACACCAAAGUUUGAAGACAGAAUUUUAAUUUCACUCUAAUCUAGAUUUAAAGUGGGCAGCAGGUGUGGGCAGACACAGGUAUGGAAAGUCAAGCCACCUUCUCUAUGAAGGCUGCCUCUGCCUUCUCCUAAGGCCUCAUCUCUGAUGUUACCCCUUCAAAGAGGCCUCUUACCCCCAACCUAAGCAGCCUCCUCCCCCAGUCACUAUGGCACAUGUUAUUUCUUUACUGCACUUGUCACUAUCUGAACUUAUUUGCUUUGCUUAUUUAUUAUUUCUACUUCUUCUUACCCCAUCCCCAAAAACCACCACCAGUAAAAAUUCCUUUGCUGGGAGACUCUGCAGAAACCUGGACUUGCUGUACCCCUGCAUGACACCCAGAAGAGUGCCUGGGCCCUCUCCGUAGAAACCACCUCAUAAAGAUCUGCUGAAUGAAUGGCCAACCCAGAAACUCACGUCUUUCCGUGUCUUAUGUUCUGCAGCCUGAAUCCUCUGAUCCAUUUCCUCUUCCAACUCACUCAACUGCAUAGCUGCCUUGUCCUGGGCUCUGAAAUUCAAAAGGAUGCACACCUUUUCAUUAUACUCUUGAACUUGAAACAUGAAGAGAAACUUCAGAUUCAUCUACGUUAAGCCCUAUAUAUUACAGAUGAAGAGAAACACCCCAUUCAAAAUGAUUUCCCAUUCCUUCUACAUAAUAAAAUGAGAUUGGCAAUUCGACCAUUUUGGUGUAAAAUGAUUUUAAAACUAGAUACAGUUAUGCAUUCCUUAACAACUAGUAUACAUUAUGAGAAAUGUGUCUUUAGGAGAUUUUUGUCAUUGUGUAAGCAUCAUAAAGAGUAUUUACACCAACCCAGCUGGUAAAGCCUACUUCACACCUAGGCUAUAUGGAAUAGCAUAUUGCUCCUAGGCUGGAAACCUGAACAGCAUGGGACUGUACUGAAUACUGGAAGUAACUGUAACACAAUGGUAUUUAUGUAUCUAAACACAGAAUAGAUACAGUAAAAGUAUAGGAUUAUAUUCUUAUGGGACCACUGUCAUUUAGGUAAUCCUUUAUUGACCAAAACAUUGUGAUGUGGUACCUGACUAUAUUAAAUAAAUUAAUAAAUUGGAUAAAAUGAUAUUAAACUAGAUUGUGGCAAACAGUAAAGAUAUCAAAGUGCUGGGAGGCUCUCAAUAAAUUCUGAAUUUUUUUUUGCUCUCAUGACUGAGUUACAACCCUGGAUUAAAAAAAGAACUCUGUGGCAAAGUGAUGGUUAUAUAUAAUUUUGAAAUUUCACUAUAUAAAACUCACAAUGUUAUAUGUUAAAGUGAGAAGGGAAAAAAAGAUCUCAAUCAUUAUUCUUAUUUGUCCCCUAAAGUUCUAGAAUGUAGAUAAGGUUACCUUUUAGAAAAAUUAUGUUUCUGUUAGGAGUGCAAUUAUAAAUCACAUCUCUAUGGAGACAGAGCACAUUGAUUUGCAUCUAAACCAUGAGCUUUAGAGGUGAUUCAUUCGGACAAAUGACAUGCUAUUAAUAAAUGACAGGGCUUAAAUAUAAGAUUUUCUGUCUUCUAGUUUGAUGGGUCUCUGCUAUAGCAACUUACCUGCUUUUGACUUAUUUACUCCCUCACACAACACAAUUUAUUCAUGCAUUGGUUCAACUUCCACAUAAAACUCCAAGGAAGUAUUAUGGGAGGAAAAAGACCCCAAAGUAAAAUUUUCAGUAACAUUAUUAUCUUCUGUUCCUAUUUACUUCUUCCUCAUCUUAUAGCCUGUCCGAGGUUAUGUUAACCAAGCUUGGGAAGUCAGUUCAUUUCUGCUUAUAAAUACCUGCUAUUUGAAGUCUAGAAACUGUGUAUCUCCAUAGCAAUGUCUGGCGGUUUUUUGGUCAACUCUGGGACUGUAAAUGGCUAAGGCACAUAUCCUUUCUCCCUCUGUUAUGAUAAUUUCCCACCUACUUCUUCUAGCUAUCCAAUCCCAAGCAUCUGGGACUGCUCCGUAAUGGACUCUCUCUGCCCUUUUCACUUCUGAGCAACAUUUUUCUUCUUUUGUAAAUCAGGGUGAUGCAUAAUCACAGAGUGCUUGCCCCAGCAAUUUCCAAUUUCUGGUGAAAUGUCUGCCCACUGUGACCUAGUCCGGGGCUCCCUCCAGGACACUGGGAACCCCUUCUUCAGGUGCAGUGCAGAACAAAAUGGCCAAAACCCUCCCCCAAUUAAAAAUAGCAGUGAGGAUGGAUGGCUAAGCAUGCAAGGAAUGGUUUACAAGUAGCCAUUUAAACACUUCCUGAGGUCUUUGGUAGCUAAGAAAGGAGGCUUUAGGAGACUUCAGCUCAGCAUAGAGGCUGGCUCUGGAUCCCUCCAGCAGCACAGAAGGGAGUGGAUGGGGACACCAACACAGCUCAAAUUAAUAUGAUGUACUCACUCCACCAUGAAAAAGCAGCCUAGCUGGUAAUGAGAACAUCAAGCAUGCCAGUCUGUUUUUUUCCUCAUAGGUUUACAUGGUAUUAUCUUUAGAUGGGGGGCAUGUGUAUGCAUGUGUACCCACAUAUCUCUGUGUGGGUCUGUGUAUGUGUACCUAUGUGUGUACCUAUGAGUUUGUCUGUUUUAAUACUUAUUGGAUGCUCUGAAGAAUCAAUGUGUGUGUCUGCCUGUCCCAUCUCAAAGGAGACCAACUCUGGGACUCUGACCCACACUCCAGAAUGCUCUACAGACUCUGGAGUUCUGAGGACCACCCUUUAUCCUCCUGGAAGGCCCCUAGAAGGCUAAUUUGAGAGAAAAAUGGUCAGUCAAGUACUAAAAAUGUUCAUAAGAAAUCCCUUGUGAAUAGAUCAACCUUGGCUUGACUCCAGGACGAUAAGAAAGGUCCUAUUUCAUACCAAGAAUUUAAAAUAUUUUCUUUUCUACAUCGUAAUGAACCAAAGGUUCAACUAGACAGUUUCAGCAUCAUGUGGAUGGGAAGGAUAAAGAGACAGCAGAAUUGAAGACAAGUCACCCGCCCCUAUGUAGACAGGGCAGCCUCCUAUUAAAAGGGCUGCAUCUAUAAGCUCCAGGCAGAAACCAGCAGGGUGCACAGCGUCUUGGGAGCUCUUGGUGGAGCACACGACAGCAAGGAGCAUCCGUGUGGCACAACACACAAGAACUGUGACAAGCACAAUGCCCUCUCUUUCCCAAUACAUGCUAAAGGAAUGCAGUUUUUCCAGGGGGCAAAGAGGCUGACGUUUGGACUGCAACACAUAUAAAUUGUUUUUUUUGCAUGACAUAGCUGUUAACACCAAAAAGAUAUCCUAUGUAAGCUAGCUAUGGCUUAAAUGGACUGUAUUAGAGUAAGAGUUUAAUAGUUCUUUGGCUUUCAGUUCAAAGGGGGAGGGCCAAGUGAGGAGGGCUAGAGAGUAGAGAGAGUCAAAGCAGCACUGCUGAGCACCCACCAUGUGGUGGGCAGUGUGCAGGGCUCACCCAUGACAUCAUCCACUAAGUCUUAACACCUGGAGGACGUGAAGAUAUUCAUCCUCAUUUUGCAGUUGCAGGAAUUGAGACUCAGGGAAAUUAAGUAACCUGCUCACAAAGUCUCAUACAUGUAGGUAACAAGGCCAGGCUUCAAAUAGUGUUCCAUCUACUUCUCUAGAUAAAAGUUUCCUGUGUGUUUUAAGCAGCUGGAUGUAAGAUAAAUCUCUUAAUUGUUCUGUAUCAAGUCAUCAUUGAUCCUGAAGAGUUUAUAUAAUAGGAUCAUGAUGAUCUACUGAUUGAUUGGUAGCUGACCUACUUCUCCAUUGCUGGCUUAAUUUUGAAAGCUCUAGACUCCUCAGGCUCAGGAAGUCCACCUAUAUCAUAGUGUGACAAUGCAGUUCAGUCCAUUUGCCACCCAGGUCAGAGAGCAAGUUAAAGCACCCACAGGCCACUUAUAAAGGAAGGACUUCAAUACCUCUUCACCGCAAUGGCCAAAUUUUCCAUUUCUGUGCUUUGAAGUCUGAUCUCACGGAUGAAGUUCUUUAUAACAUGUUCAUAUGGCUGAAUUAAUCUUGGCUCCACAAGGUUGAUGUUUUGGUACAAGGUACUAACUUGCUCUUCUCUGCCAAAUAAAUAAAUAAAAAUUAAACCAAUUAUAAAAUUUUAAAGGCAACUCUGCAGGGGGCUUUUAAGAAAGAGAAACAUAAAUGAAGAACUAAGGAAAGAAAAACCAGCAAUCACAGAAUGAACGGAAGGAAGGGAAGACAGCAGUCAGGAGAUAUGGUUGGAUUUUUCCCCACAAUAGGAGAUGGGGCCUGCGAGGACAGUGAAAAUGCACAGCAAGGGACUAAUAAGGAAGGAUUUUGUUGUUGUUCCUGCUGUGUAUUUUUUAAUUUUAAUAGAAAGAUAUAUAAAUUUACAGAAAAAUUAGGUAACAUUAAAUCAGUUACUUAAUUCCAUGUUUCAUCCACCCCUGAUAAGACAUGUUUCAGCCUUUAUCGUCAUAACAGUGGGUGUAUUAGUCCAUUUUCACACUGCUAUAAAGAAAUACCCAAGACUGGGUAAUUUAUACAUAAAAGAGCUUUUAACUGACUCACAGUUCCACAUGACUGGGAGGCCUCAGGAAACUUACAAACAUGGCAGAAGGGGAAGCAAGGAUCUUCUUCACAUGGUGACAGGAGAGAGAAGAGUGAGGAGUGAAGGAGGAAGAGCUCCUCCUUAAACCAUCAGAUCUCCUGAGAACUCUUUCACUAUCACGAGAACAGUACGGGGGAAACCGCCCACAUGAUCCAAGCACCUCCCAACAGCUCUCUCCCUAGACACAUGGGGAUUAUGGGGAUAACCAUUCAAGAUGAGAUCUGAGUGGGGACACAGCCAAACCACAGCAAUGAAUAUACCUAUUAUGUUACGGUCAGCUAAAAGUAACUUCAUAUAAAUUCACAUUUUUAUAUAUAUUUGCAUUGAUGUCAGUCACAAUUCUCUUGACACCAAAUGUGUGGAUUUUUUCCUCAUACCAACCAAUUCUCCAACAUUUCAGAUACCAACUGAGUGUCCAACAAUCCAAUUUCAUUCUGACACUACCCAGAGUCAGCACAGACCCCACAGGUUAAGAGAUCAGUCCCACAAGACUGCUCCCCACUUAGAUACCAGUCACAAGUUCCAGGUUGCCACGUACACUUCUGACCAAUCACCUAUAAAUCAGGGGUUCCCGUGACCCCCUCUUCAGUUCCAUACUUUGCUUAAAUGGCUCACAGAACUCAGGAAAACACUUGACUUAGGUUUACCAGUUUAUCAUAAAGAAUAUAACUCAGGAUGGCCAAAUGGAAGAGAUGCUUUGGGCAAGGUAUGGAAGCAGAGUGUGGGUGCACAGAACAACACCCUCCCAGCUCCUCAGUAUGUUCAUCAACCCAGCAGUUCUCCAAACACUAUUGUUUUGGGGGUUUUAUGGUGAUUGCACUGCACAGACAUGAGAGAUUACAUCACUGGCCAAUGGUGAUUACCUCAAUCUUCAGCUUCUCUCUCCUCCCCAGAGGUCAGGGAUGGGGCUGAAAGUUCCAACCUUCUAAUCACGUCAGUCUUUCUUAAUCUUAAUCAUGUUCAGCCC